GAUGAACGCUGGCGGCGUGCCUAAUACAUGCAAGUCGAGCGAACAGACGAGGAGCUUGCUCCUCUGACGUUAUCGGCGGACGGGUGAGUAACACGUGGAUAACCUACCUAUAAGACUGGGAUAACUUCGGGAAACCGGAGCUAAUACCGGAUAAUAUAUUGAACCGCAUGGUUCAAUAGUGAAGGACGGUUUUGCUGUCACUUAUAGAUGGAUCCGCGCCGCAUUAGCUAGUUGGUAAGGUAACGGCUUACCAAGGCAACGAUGCGUAGCCGACCUGAGAGGGUGAUCGGCCACACUGGAACUGAGACACGGUCCAGACUCCUACGGGAGGCAGCAGUAGGGAAUCUUCCGCAAUGGGCGAAAGCCUGACGGAGCAACGCCGCGUGAGUGAUGAAGGUCUUCGGAUCGUAAAACUCUGUUAUUAGGGAAGAACAAAUGUGUAAGUAACUAUGCACGUCUUGACGGUACCUAAUCAGAAAGCCACGGCUAACUACGUG
RNAcentral lists this ribosomal RNA (497 nucleotides) under uncultured bacterium. Its description in RNAcentral is "partial 16S ribosomal RNA". It matches the Rfam family "Bacterial small subunit ribosomal RNA", at positions 28 to 507 of the family's 1533-position model. The record is from RNAcentral.